UCUGACUCCUCCUUCUCGGAUGCAAAAUCAAAUUAUCUGGUACUCGACGAAGCUUGCAGGGCCCAAUUUCAUUAGCCAGGGCCUUCCUAGAGUCCCGUUAUAGGGAGACGGGUCGCUGACUAUGAUGAACGUCUGCUUUGAGACUAUUAGUGGUGUUCUCAUAUCGAGUGCUAUGUUGCCAAUAGCAGUUGAGGUGUAUCUGUUGAAUAUGGUGAAUACCUCUGCAAGGCAAAUUAUCAUGCUUUACAGGCCCAUCUUCUAAAUGACAGAUAGCUGAACUCCAAAAUAUCGAGGUUUUUUGUGGUGAAACUCAACACUUAACAGUUUGUGCAUUUCAUUAAAUUAUGAAAAUAUCGGUCAAAUUAGUAGUGGACCAUUGGCCCAACUCCAAAAUCUUAACAAAUAUAUAGUCUAAAACAAAUUGGCCUUAACAAAUAUAUAUACACAUAUGACUAAUGUGAGAUCUUAUUCUUCAAAACGCCCCCUCAUGAGUGACCCCACAUAGGGUCACAAGGGAAACCAAUUCUCACAUGGAGAACUGGCCAAAGUCCUUAUACCGGAACUAACACUAGUCUUUUCAAGAACUCAGUCGGUCGGUAUGUAGUCUAUGGAGUCAACACUAAUAUUUUUCAAGCCCUAGUCAUUCAGCUGCCUUAAGUUGGAACUAGCGCAUUUUUUCGAAAGCCCAACAUGAAGCAUAUUCGAGCCCAGUAACUCAGGCCAGGACGUGUAGAGAGAAUAGCCUACUCUAAUACUAUGCUAACUUUGGAUUGGUUUGUAUGUGCUAAUCUAGUGUUCUGGAAUGCUUCGUGUAUUUCUUAGGAG
Molecule: long non-coding RNA, 825 nt
Filed under: Malus domestica (apple)
Lineage: Eukaryota; Viridiplantae; Streptophyta; Magnoliopsida; Rosales; Rosaceae
Description: long non-coding RNA (MDOM_LNC004674)
Source: RNAcentral